RNAcentral lists this ribosomal RNA (1558 nucleotides) under Bunomys penitus (inland hill rat). Its description in RNAcentral is "16S ribosomal RNA". It matches the Rfam family "Bacterial large subunit ribosomal RNA", at positions 396 to 2925 of the family's 2925-position model. Lineage: Eukaryota; Metazoa; Chordata; Mammalia; Rodentia; Muridae. The record is from RNAcentral.
AAAUCAACUAACAUAACUAAAUUUUUACAUAAACUAAAACAUUUACCCUUCCCAAAAGUAUUGGAGAAAGAAAUUCGCUUUACUAGGCGCUAUAGAGAAAGUACCGUAAGGGAAUGAUGAAAGAUCAAUUUAAAGUAAUAAUAAGCAAAGAUUAAACCUUGUACCUUUUGCAUAAUGAAUUAACUAGAAAACUUUUAACAAAAAGAAUUUAAGCUAAAAACCCCGAAACCAAACGAGCUACCUAAAAACAAUCUUAUGGAUCAACCCGUCUAUGUGGCAAAAUAGUGGGAAGAUUUUUAGGUAGAGGUGAAAAGCCUACCGAGCUUGGUGAUAGCUGGUUGCCCAAAAAAGAACUUCAGUUCAACUUUAAGCUUACCAUAAGGACAACAAACCAAAAUGUAAACUUAAAAUAUAGCCAAAAGAGGGACAGCUCUUUAGGAAAGGAAAAAACCUUAAAUAGUGAAUAAACAACUGAUAAUUAACUCAACCAUUGUAGGCCUAAAAGCAGCCACCAACAAAGAAAGCGUUCAAGCUCAACAUAUACAUAUACAAACUAAUCCCACAAACCUUUAUAAAUUCCUAUUGUACAAAUUGGGCCAAUCUAUAAAAUUAUAGAUGAGAUACUGUUAAUAUGAGUAACAAGAAUUUAUUCUCCUAGCACAAGUGUAUGACAAUCCGGAUAACCAUUGUCAAUUACCGAACUAUAGAUAACAAUCACACAAUAAAAAUACCUAACAAUAACUCGUUAAUCCAACACCGGUGUGCCUCAAGGAAAGAUUAAAAAAAGUAAAAGGAACUCGGCAACCACGAGCCCCGCCUGUUUACCAAAAACAUCACCUCUAGCAUAUCAAGUAUUAGAGGCAUUGCCUGCCCAGUGACUAAAGUUAAACGGCCGCGGUAUCCUGACCGUGCAAAGGUAGCAUAAUCACUUGUUCCUUAAUUAGGGACUAGAAUGAAUGGCUAAACGAGGGCUCAACUGUCUCUUACUUUCAAUCAGUGAAAUUGACCUUCCAGUGAAGAGGCUGGAAUACCACAAUAAGACGAGAAGACCCUAUGGAGCUUUAAUUUACUAGUUUAAUUUAUACUAAAAUAACCUAAUGGACUAAAAUAAAAUAAAUAUAAACUAAAAAAUUUCGGUUGGGGUGACCUCGGAGAACAAAUAAUCCUCCGAAUGAUUUUAACCUAGACACACAAGUCAAAGUAACACCUGUAUCUUAUUGACCCAAUUAUUGAUCAACGGACCAAGUUACCCUAGGGAUAACAGCGCAAUCCUAUUUAAGAGUUCAUAUCGACAAUUAGGGUUUACGACCUCGAUGUUGGAUCAGGACAUCCCAAUGGUGCAGAAGCUAUUAAUGGUUCGUUUGUUCAACGAUUAAAGUCCUACGUGAUCUGAGUUCAGACCGGAGCAAUCCAGGUCGGUUUCUAUCUAUUUACAAUUUCUCCCAGUACGAAAGGACAAGAGAAAUGGAGCCACCUUAACACAAGUGCUCCUAACCUAACUUAUGAAAUAAUCUUAAUAAAAUAUAUAUGUACAACAAACUUAAACCUAGAUCAGGUU